GAUGAACGCUGGCGGCGUGCCUAAUACAUGCAAGUCGAGCGAGCAGACGAGGAGCUUGCUCCUCUGACGUUAGCGGCGGACGGGUGAGUAACACGUGGAUAACCUACCUAUAAGACUGGGAUAACUUCGGGAAACCGGAGCUAAUACCGGAUAAUAUAUUGAACCGCAUGGUUCAAUAGUGAAAGACGGUUUUGCUGUCACUUAUAGAUGGAUCCGCGCCGCAUUAGCUAGUUGGUAAGGUAACGGCUUACCAAGGCAACGAUGCGUAGCCGACCUGAGAGGGUGAUCGGCCACACUGGAACUGAGACACGGUCCAGACUCCUACGGGAGGCAGCAGUAGGGAAUCUUCCGCAAUGGGCGAAAGCUUGACGGAGCAACGCCGCGUGAGUGAUGAAGGUCUUCGGAUCGUAAAACUCUGUUAUUAGGGAAGAACAAAUGUGUAAGUAACUAUGCACGUCUUGACGGUACCUAAUCAGAAAGCCACGGCUAACUACGU
Molecule: ribosomal RNA, 496 nt
Filed under: uncultured bacterium
Lineage: Bacteria
Description: partial 16S ribosomal RNA
Rfam family: Bacterial small subunit ribosomal RNA
Source: RNAcentral